This 8595-nucleotide long non-coding RNA is filed under the name Lupinus angustifolius (narrow-leaved blue lupine). Its description in RNAcentral is "long non-coding RNA (LANG_LNC002737)". Lineage: Eukaryota; Viridiplantae; Streptophyta; Magnoliopsida; Fabales; Fabaceae. The record is from RNAcentral.
AAAAAUUAAGCUGUCUAUUCUUAUUAUAUGAUAAAAAAACUGCUAUUUUAUUCCCUUUUAUUUAGCACACAUUUUUUUCCUACCAGCCCAAUUUAUUACAUAAAAUGAUUAUUUCUACAAAAAAGAACAAAAUCCCAAAGUUAAAAAGAACCACAAUCCAAAAUCUCAAAGUAGAGAAGUGAAGAUGGGUUCCAUUCCCAAUCUCUAUAUCAACCCAACGGAAAGCGCGAUUUCCCGCCAGAAAACAUGCGAUUGAGCAAUCGCCUCUUCGAAAAUUUCUGAGGUAUCUCUAUAAUAAUAUAUAUGAUUUACACACGUGCACUUAGGUAAUGUGUAAGCUUCAAUGCUAUGAAUUAUGGUUGAGUUUCGCACUUGUGUUUUGUUGAAUUAUUGUAUAGUACUAUAGUCCGUGUGAUUUGACUAAGAAAAUAAGAGAAAGGUACUGAGAAUGUGUAAGCAAAGCCAAGAAAAUGUGGCUUUGUUUGACAUAACUAUAUUAUAGAUGUGAGAUUGUAUCUUGUAGCUAUGAGAUCGUAACUUAUAUAGUUAAAACCUUAUAAAUGUGUGGUUAGUCGACUAAACUAGAGCUGUUGGAUAAAACUGAUUGUACAACUAGCCGAGGACAAUCAAGCCUUAUCCCAGUAGGUGAGGUCGGCGGCUGAGAUUUAUCAACUGAUUUAAAAAGAAAGACAUGUAAUAUGGGUUGGGGUAAAAAUUUGUCAUUUGCUGAAAAUUGAAGUGCAGAAUUGCUAUAUGAAUUAUUAGAAGAGCUUAAACCUUUCAUAUAGGCUAGCUUCCGAAGGUAGUUCUCCGAAUUUCACUUCCUCUUAGCCUUCUAGUUCUACUACUGAAAAUCCAUCUCCCUCUACUCCUUCUAUCUGUAUUCAUCCAAUGAUGACCAUUGACUAGGUCCAAAUCAGGGAUUGAUAAAUCAUUUGUUCCCAGAGCUCAAGGAGUUUUUCUAGUCCAGACUGAACCCAUUCUAGCACACACUGCGUUCCUUUCUGUACUUGAUGAAUGCAUUUAUAUUUUUAGGAAAAAAGUCACUGGAAGAGUGGUGAUAUGAGUAGAGUGUUUUUUUAAGGGAAAAUAAUAAUCUGUUUUUACAUUAUAGAAGGAAAAGCUCAUUAACAUGAAAUUGGUAAAGUAGUCGACUAUCGACUAUAUUUAUCUUGAUUUCCACUCUUCAUGUAGCUUAGUGGGUUUAUCUGCAUUCACUAUUGUGAUAAAGAGCAAGAGAUAGUGAUAAGGUAGGAUUUGCCUCUUUUAGGUCAUGUUUGAACUUACAAUUUGAGUCUCCAGUAAUUGAUAGAUAAUAUCAAAUUUAUAUCAGAUAACAUUACCCUUAUUUGUUCGGGAACAAUUACUUGCAAUGUUGUUUGGACAAUGGACAUUAGUCUAAUUUAAGCCGCAUAUCAUGGACAUAUAUACAAAUUACACACUUAUGCCUGGUAUGCAUGUGCAAAAUGAGGUCCCAAUACCAUAUAGAUAGGUUCUAAUAGGCAUGUAGGUAGUUGUAGCUACUCACAUCAGAUAUAUGCUUUUGGAUAACAUUAUUCCACUAGUAAUACAAGCACAAGCAAUAAUGACUGAAACAUUAAUAGUUUGGUCAUUGUCUUCAGACUUUAGUUGGGGACAACUGUUCCCACUAGCCCAAAUCCCAUCGUAAAGAAAGCCCCUGCCUGCAGCAACAGAUAGACAAAGAAAUGGUCGUUUCCAAAUAGCAGGUCGUAUAUUGCACAGUGCAGCAUGUACAUCCCCACUAUUAUCUCCAAUGGAUGUAUUGUCUUGAUCAGGGUAAAAGGGUUAUAAAUAGGAAUCCUGCUCAUGAAGGGAAAUGGGUCGUAAGUACGCAUCAGAUGCAUUAAUAGGGAGAAGGGAGUUAGGCAAAUAUUGUCACUGCAUUCUUUACCUUGCAAUCUAAUGUUAUUCAAAUACAUUAUUGUGUUUGAUAGAGCUUCUUUUUUUACGGAAAGAAGGCUUUUAUUUGCAUAGAAAGCUGUGCCAUUAUUCCCGCAUGUUCAGCAAAUGCAAAAACUUUCAGCAGUUUUCAGCAUAGAAAACAGAUUUUUUUAUAAGCUCCCGGUUAUUUUUUCGAGAUUAUUUUUCAAGAUUGUAAUAUAAAUUUAGAAGCUCUACCAAACAGAAGUAUACAAUAUUAUGAAAAGGAGUAAUUUAAAUAUCAUGGUUGUGUUCCUAUUGCUGUUUUUCCUGCAAUUUUAGUUUAUUUUACAUUUAAAUAAAUUUUUUAAUGUUAUCAUAGAGUAAUCCAAUAUCAAUAUUUAUGUUAGUUUAAUAUAUUGCUUUAUUUAGGCAAAGCUGCUAAUACCUUUCCAAAAUUUGAAACCAUGAAAUCCUUGAUGUUGGUGACCUAGCAUUGUUCUUCUGUUUCUUGGCAUUUCCUAGCUUCUCAGUAACAACCCAUUCAUUGACACGGUUUGCUUCUAGAAGUCCUAUAAUGGCUGCUUUAGUUCGAUGAAGUGACAUGACAUUCUCAAAGAGUAUCCAGCAUACAAGUAGAUGUAGGGACCUGUCCCAUAAAUAAGUGAAUGUAGUGUAAUUCAGAUAACUGAGGGACUGUAAAUAAAUUUUACACUAAUGUCCUAAACCAAUUACCUUGGGGUGGAGAUUGCAUUUAGAAUAGUAAUGGCUGCUGGGAUGUAUAUGGCAAUCUUUUUUGUGAGUUGGACUUCUGGAACUAUCACACAAGCUGGUAUAACUAUGCAGUAAAAGAAGAACGUGACCCAGUGUGCGACUAUUUUCCUCACAAAGAAGAAAGCAUAGAUAAGAUGAAGUCUCUUGAAAAGCGACACCCUCUGGAUGAUACAUACCAAACAGUAUAAGAGUUUGUAAAUCAUGAUUCGGUAAGGAUUUGUUUUUAGCCGUUGAUGUGAAAAUUAGAGUUUACUUACUUUGCAAAAGAGGAUUUCUUUGGUCAUUUUCUUAAAUAGGUUAGCUGGACCACAUGACCACCUGUGUUGCUGAUAUCGGUAUGCUUUAAAUGUACUUGGUAGCUCAUUUUGUACCUAGGAAGCAACAAAAGCACCCCCAGGGGCAGGGGUUAGUUUAUGGGUUAUUCAAACUUAGAACAUGAUAUUGUCCUCAAAGCAUAUAGAUCAGAUAUGGUAACUCACUGUCACGUCACCCACAAAAAUGAAUUCCCAGCCCUGCAGGCUUGCCCUAACUGCAAGGUCCAUAUCUUCCACCGUAGUUCGGUCUUUCCACCCUCCAGCGUCUUUUAUUGCUUGAAUCCGCCAUAUUCCUGCUGUCCCUAUAUGUUAUAGAGGAAGUUUGAAUAAGUCAAUCUGCUAAGAUGCUUGUUUGAAUUUAGUUCAAUGAGCCUCAGAACUUACCGUUGAACCCAAAGAAUGAGUAUGUUGAAGAGCCUACUUCCUGUUCAACAGUGAAGUGAUAAUCGAGUGACAUCUCUUGAAGACGUGUCAUCAUACAUUCUUCUGAAUUCACUGCAAAUACGUAACAAAGAAAUUAAAAAAAAUUAAUUCCUUUUAUGUAUUCCUUCCUUAUUAAUACUUUUGCUGCUAACUGGUGUGGCUGCAACAAAUUAACUAGGUGGUUUUACGAGUUACUUACCAAAUUUCCAUCUUGCCUGAACCAAACCCAACUUUGGGUUCUCAAGCAGAUAAGGAAUUGUAUUCCAAAGAAAAUCUGCAUCUGGCUGGAAAUCUGCAUCAAAUAUCGCUACAAACUCACAAUCCUCCACAUACUGCUUCUCCAAACCCUCUUUUAGUGCACCUGCCUUGUAACCAUUACGAUGUCUCCUUGUUUCAUAUUUGACAUUCACACCUUUUUUUAUCCAUUUAUGACACUCCAAUUCAACCAAUUCCUGCAUGUUCGUAAUCACAUGGUUACUGAAUAUAUGCAGAGAGAGGAUUUGCAAUGAAGCUUUAAUGGAUUAAUCAGAUACCCUCAAGACUGGGUUUGUUGAGUCAUCAAGAACUUGAACUAUGAGUCUAUCGGAUGGCCAUGAAAGCCCACAUACUGCUCCAAUGGAAAGCUUGUAAACCUGGAAGCAUAAAUUGCAAUUUUUUGAGCUGAGGUAGUUCAUCCUUGGCCUUCAAUAAUUACCAACAUAACUGUAUCACUUUAAUUGCACAUUCCUAGUUUGGACAAACGAAACUGACUUGUGUAUUCAUUUACUUUGUCAGUUAGCUGUGGUUUAUUACUCAAUGUUAUGUCACCAUGGUUAGGUCCCAUCAUUAUUGAUUGUUAAAAUGCUUUGCAUGGUAGUACUACUACCAAUGUUAAAAUAUCUUAAAAUAAUGACAAUCUGAAAGGACAUGCUUGGUAAAGGGUCUUUGAAAGAUGAUAGACUUUGUUGAUAAGUUUUAUGGGUGAAAAAAAAUUAAAGAAUGAAAAUAAGAAAGUAGGAGUAAUGUAAUAAACUAUUAACACCAUUAUAAAAUGCUUGAGCACACAUAACCUGGUUGAUUUCUACCCAUUUAAUGCUAGUCUAAUUCUUUCUGAUAACUACAAAUGAUAAAGGAUAUGCUUGUUGGAGUUUGGCAUUGUUGUUUAGAACAAUAAACCACUAGCAACUGAUCUGACCACUUAUACAGCAUUUUAGAAUAAGAUUACUGCAUGAUCUGUGGAUGUUAAAGUGGUAAAGGUGCAUACAUGUAAUAUAGCAUUCUAAAAAUUUGGAUUCUGUAGAAGGCUUCUUAAUUGAAAAAGCAAGGGUACCUCUUUCUCAUUAUACAUAGGUAUUUGGAUCAACACCUUGGGGUAUCUUUUGUUUCUCUGCAGUUUCUGCUUCAUGACAUCCAAAUUGUACUUUCUAUAUUUUUUCUUCCCCAGCACUUUGACAAUUGCACAUAUAGUUGCCAUGACUACUCUUUCAACAAAUAGCAUGAUUGACAUAGUUGAGCACAGUAUGACUGCUAAUUUUAGGAGUGGUAUUAUCACUGGGGCCCGUAUUGAUUCCCAGGCAUAGCGCAGAUGGCUUGAAGCAUAUUCUGGUGCCCUUACAUCAGUCUCCUCAAAGAUUAGGUUUCUCAUGGUUGGUGGGGUUUCAGAUAUCAAGGAAUAUAAACCUAAUAAGUUGCUUGGGGGCUUAGACAAGUGCAGGAUGGGUCAGUGACUUGUUGCAGGCAUUGGGCAAGAGGGUAUGAUGAUUGUUGAAGGUGAAACAUUUAUAUAAGAAGGAAAUGCAAGGAAGGAAGGAAGAUGAUGAUGUGAUGGAGAGCUAUUCUUUUUGAGAGACACGUGUUGUUCAUGCACGUAAUGGUGCUGCAACGUAGCUACUUCAUAGCUGGAUAUGUCUUUUCUUGCCGACAAUUUGAUCAAGAGUUUACCGUCAAUGAUUUUGAUCACAGUAAGAAGUUGUUUUGUAUUCAGUCCAAUUUUGUGAGAUUCUGUUAUGUUGCUAGUAAUUAUUAGAUACAUGCCAACAGAGUCAAGCUAGCUUAUUUGGUACUUCGCUAUGGCUUAGGUACGGUCUUUUUGUUAAAUUAAUUUUCUCUUAUCUUCUACAUAUGCUGUUUCUUUCCUUUUGUGAGAAGGCAUAUUCAGCCAUAUAAAGUGUGUUGAUUUUCUUUCGUGAUUAAUUUGUUUGGGUAAGGUCGAUGAUAGUAUGUAGUACUUUGUAGUUUGCUACUAGAUGCUUUUAAAUUCUUUCAUGAAUCUUUCCUAAGCAUUAUUCACAAAAGCAAAUCAACAGAUUUCUCUAAGUAAAAAAAUGAAGUGAUGUAAACAAGAGGUGAGAGGAGGUAAUGUGUGCGAAGUAGAAGAAGAAUGGAGACAAUCCCUUGUUAGGAAAGAUUGACAUGAAUGCUGAAAAAUGGGAUAAAUUAAAAAAGGAGAGUGAGUUUCAUUUUAGUUUAUAUCACAGUUUAGAAGUUUCUUGAUGCCAACGUCUCUAAUGAUGCGAUGCUAUAAUUUUAAAGUAAAAAAUAUAUAAUAUCCUUUAGAAGCAUUUGACUGAUAAAGAAAGAGAAGUCCUUCCUUUCUGGUUUCUGCAAUAAAUUCCUUGCUAUAUGAGAUGGUUGCUAUCCUUUCCUUUUAUCUCAUGUAUUAAGAUAAAGUUUCUCUAGACCUACGAUUUUAUUUUACAUAUUCAUAAAACAUGGUAUUUAGUCUUUUUGUUACCUAAGUCAGUGAUAUUUUUGUAAUUUUUUCUUCUACAAACUUUUGAUUGCAAAGAAAGAAAACCUAAGCUGAAUGAUUUAUCAAGAUUGGAGUUUAGUGAAGCCAGUUUUAAAGGGCCGCUAUUCCAUAAAAAUCAUCAAAAGCACAGACGGUGCUUUCUAAAUAUUUUUAUAUCAUAGCUGAAAUUUCUUUACAAUAAUCUCAUUUUAUUAUAGUUGGUUUAUGCUCUCUGGUUUAAUAGAAAUGACCUAUGGCAUUGUCUGUGUGUGGCCCUGAAUUAUGGCAACUUUUCAUGUCUGACUCAGAUGGUGUGUAUUUACUCUGCGACAUGUUGCAGUCAUUUGGAUUUAUCAAAUUGUCUUACCUUCAAAUUUUGCGUGCACUCAAGUUCAACAUGGACAAUAUCUUGUACUUAAGCUAUACUGUCUGCUUCCUUGUCGGUGUUGUUUCUCUCAGAAGUUAUGACAGAUAAGGGGGUUUACGUUUCAAUCAUUGCUUUCUUCAUUUUGAAAAACUCAUCUCGCUCCUUCCAUUCGAAGUUGAAAUACAAUUUGAAUUACCUAAUUAAUAUUGUGUCGGUGACAAACGUAAUGGUGCUUCCAAAAUGUUUUGGUCGACAAGAUGGGUUAUGUAAGAUUGUUCCCAUUUUGAGAUAAUUAUAUGUUUUAAGUCUUUUGUGUCUUUGGUAAGUAUGAAAUGGUAGCUGUGGAACAGUAAAUAUUGGAAUUUAUUUUGCCUUUGUUGAGUUAAUUAUGUUGUUAGGACUUUGGCAUAGCCUUGGCAUAGGCUGAACAUAUAAACUUCAUUAGCACAUGAGACAUGAUUUGUUGUUGUAAGGAAUAAUUGAUCAAAGAAACCUCUUUUCCUUGUGUGUAUUGGUCUUGAUUAGUUUGAUUCAAAAUUAUGAACUGCAGAUGAUUUGUUAUAUUUUCAUUUUUAUGUAGUCAUGCGUCAUGCCCAUUCAUUGUUUUACCUUGUUUAGUGUUUCACAAUUCACCCACGUAUCUGACUUUCUGAGUUGUUAAUUGCUUGUAUGUUUCCUUGAUUUAGAUAUUAAUAUUAAUAUAUGAUAUAUCUUUCAAGGUAUUACCCAAGCCAGGCGAGAUAAUUCUACAUUAAAUUGGUUGGUCUAGUUUAAUUGUUGCAAGUCCUGAAGCUUGCAUUAUCAUGCAAAUUUUACUGUAUUGUGACACUUGUUAGAUGGUAAAGUAGUGAAAAGGGAAGAGUAUACUUCGAUGGUCUUUGUCUCCAUUCUGACCAACUUAUUUGGUUUCAGCCAUCGGAUGUUGAAAUAGAAAGGAAAAAUAAUAAAAAGAAUAACCCAGUUAAUAUUUCACUUCAGGGAUUAUAAAACUUUUGAGAUCUCUGAAGUGUUGAGCCUGGAGAAUAGGUUAGAUAAGUUGUUUCUGCUUUUGGAGAACUAUAUGUUGAAUUUUGUCCCUGUGGAGCAAUAAAUAUAGGUUUCAUGUGUUUGGGUCAAUUAUAUUGCAGCAUUAUGAGAUUGGCUUGCAUAUACCCUGACAUAAACUUCAGUAGCAUGCAAAUUGUUGUAGUGAGUGAUUAAUCAAAGAAACUUCUAUGCAUUUUGUAUGUCAAAGUCUUAAUUAUUCUGAUACGCCUCACACAAAACUGAAAGCUUCUGGAUUUUAAAAGUUUAUAUCAUUAAUUGGUCCUUAUUAUAGAGAUUCUACAAAGUUUUACAUUGGCUGUCAUGACUGCCUACCAUAACCUUCAUCUUUUAUCCAGGACUUUCAACGUAUAGCAUUAAGCACACAUAGGCAGGUUUUAAUGAUAUAGGAAGUCUGGUGUUUUCCCUUUGAUCCACAUUAACUGCUUUAUGUAUUGCGUGAACAUUUAAGCUUGCAGUUUUUAUUAUAUAGUGAUGCUUGUUAAAUAACAAACUUGUGUAACUGUGAUUUUCAGGUUAAGGAAAUCAGUUUUAUACCAUAUUUUGGAAGGUUCUGUACUUCUAUUUUGCACAUAAGUUAAGUUUGACACUGAUUGUAAUUUUGUAAUAUAAUAUUUUUCCUAUCUUUGCAAUUUAGCUUUUUAUGCUGCUCUGGAUGGCUGGAAGAUGUGAAACUUGUACAGGUAUGUGCUUAUUGGGCAAUGCCAAUUAGAAUGUAAAGAUAUCUUUAAAAUAAUCAUAUUAAGGGCCUUAUUAUCUUUUUAAAUUAUUAUCUUAAUGAUUAACCAGUAUUUGAUUUGUUGUGCCUAUACAUGAUUUAUUCUGGCUGGAUAUUCAUUGGUCAUAUGCAUCAAGCAAUCAUGCCAGUGAAAGGAAAGAGUUGUUGCUCCCCUCCUGCAGAAAAGUUUUUUGGUUAGUAUAUUAUGAAUUGCAAAGUCCUUUUUCAUUGACUAUUGGACUGAUCCUACUUUUUGUAGAGAAAGAUUUGUGUAGAGACGUAUGUAUGUAGAGAUAACCAAUAAAAUUUUGACAACACGUUAAAAAUUUAAUUUUAAUUAAAAUUUAGUUAUUAAUGAUAGCAC